CCUACGGGUGACAGCAGUGGGGAAUAUUGGGCAAUGGGCGCAAGCCUGACCCAGCAACGCCGCGUGAAGGUAGAUGGCUUACGGGCUGUAAACUUCUUUUCUCCGGGACGAAGCAAGUUACGGUAUCUGCGGAAUAAGCUACGGUUAACUACGUGCUAGCAGCCGCGGGAAUACGGAGGUGGCGAGCGUUAUCCGGAUUUACUGGGUGUAAAGGGAGUGUAGGCGGGACGGCAAGUCAGAUGUGAAAACCACGGGCUCAACCUGUGAACUGCAAUUGAAACUGUAGGUCUUGAGUACUGGAGAGGCAGACGGAAUUCGUGGUGUAGCGGUGAAAUGCGUAGAUAUUAGGAGGAACACCAAUGGCGAAGGCAGUCUACUAAACAGCAACUGACGCUGAGGCGCGAAAGCGUGGGGAGCAAACAGGAUUAGAUACCCCAGUAGUC
RNAcentral lists this ribosomal RNA (443 nucleotides) under uncultured bacterium. RNAcentral describes it as "partial 16S ribosomal RNA". It matches the Rfam family "Bacterial small subunit ribosomal RNA", at positions 338 to 795 of the family's 1533-position model. The record is from RNAcentral.